ACGAACGCUGGCGGCGUGCUUAACACCUGCAAGUCGCACGGAAAGGCCCUGCUUUUGUGGGGUGCUCGAGUGGCGAACGGGUGAGUAACACGUGAGUAACCUGCCCUUGACUUUGGGAUAACUUCAGGAAACUGGGGCUAAUACCGGAUAGGAGCUCCUGCUGCAUGGUGGGGGUUGGAAAGUUUCGGCGGUUGGGGAUGGACUCGCGGCUUAUCAGCUUGUUGGUGGGGUAGUGGCUUACCAAGGCUUUGACGGGUAGCCGGCCUGAGAGGGUGACCGGCCACAUUGGGACUGAGAUACGGCCCAGACUCCUACGGGAGGCAGCAGUGGGGAAUGUUGCACAAUGGGCGGAAGCCUGAUGCAGCAACGCCGCGUGCGGGAUGACGGCCUUCGGGUUGUAAACCGCUUUCGCCUGUGACGAAGCGUGAGUGACGGUAAUGGGUAAAGAAGCACCGGCUAACUACGUG
RNAcentral lists this ribosomal RNA (467 nucleotides) under uncultured bacterium. RNAcentral describes it as "partial 16S ribosomal RNA". It matches the Rfam family "Bacterial small subunit ribosomal RNA", at positions 29 to 507 of the family's 1533-position model. The record is from RNAcentral.